GAUGAACGCUGGCGGCGUGCCUAAUACAUGCAAGUCGAGCGAACGGACGAGAAGCUUGCUUCUCUGAUGUUAGCGGCGGACGGGUGAGUAACACGUGGAUAACCUACCUAUAAGACUGGGAUAACUUCGGGAAACCGGAGCUAAUACCGGAUAAUAUUUUGAACCGCAUGGUUCAAAAGUGAAAGACGGUCUUGCUGUCACUUAUAGAUGGAUCCGCGCUGCAUUAGCUAGUUGGUAAGGUAACGGCUUACCAAGGCAACGAUGCAUAGCCGACCUGAGAGGAUGAACUGCCACACUGGAACUGAGACACGGUCCAGACUCCUACAGGGGGCAGCAGUAGGGAAUCUUCCGCAAUGGGCGAAAGCCUGACGGAGCAACGCCGCGUGAGUGAUGAAGGUCUUCGGAUCGUAAAACUCUGUUAUUAGGGAAGAACAUAUGUGUAAGAAACUGUGCACAUCUUGACGGUACCUAAUCAGAAAGCCACGGCUAACUACGUG
Molecule: ribosomal RNA, 497 nt
Filed under: uncultured bacterium
Lineage: Bacteria
Description: partial 16S ribosomal RNA
Rfam family: Bacterial small subunit ribosomal RNA
Source: RNAcentral